This 937-nucleotide long non-coding RNA is filed under the name Vigna radiata. RNAcentral describes it as "long non-coding RNA (VRAD_LNC013251)". The record is from RNAcentral. Lineage: Eukaryota; Viridiplantae; Streptophyta; Magnoliopsida; Fabales; Fabaceae.
UUGUAUCUGGAGAUAUCAAGACUGAAUUCAACAAUUCAAAGUGAUCAAUUAGCAGAUAUUUUCACCAAGUCUUUACGGGGACCGAAAAUUGAUUAUAUUUAGGUUAAAUAGAUUCGUUGGUCCCUAUUUUUGCUGGUUUUCUUCAAGUAGGUCCCUGUUUUUUAAAAAUGAUCAAUUUAGUCCUUAAAUUGAAAAAUUAAACCAAUCAAGUUCAUUCCGUUAACUUCCCUGAACGGCGUUAAAAUUUGUCUUUGCUGGCAAAAGGAAGUGUAUUUUUUAAAUAGGUGGCACACAAUAUCUUUUAAGACGUGGACUUUGAUACGUGGACUUUAAGAACAUCUUCUUCUCAUUUACCUCCGCAAACAGCCAUUCUUUGGCUUCAUCCAUCUGCUAUACCACAUUAAGAAAAUCCUUCAACAACAUUCAACAUCGGCAUUCUCCAUUCAACAACAUCUGCAUUCUCAUCUUUUGAACCAUCUGCAUCCUCCAUUAACAUUUGAGAGCCACCGUAACAAUUCACACUCUAGCCUUUGCUUCCAUCAAGAGUCACCUUCAUCAUCCAUUCCAUUCCUGGAGGAGGCGUACUCAAUAUAUCGGAAAAGAAAGAAACAAAAGAGAGGCUGGCCAAGAGAAGAUCCUACUUUCUUACCCAUCAUCACCAUUCCCUUUGCUGUUAAGCUAGAUACUUAUCAGGAAAACACAACAAAAAAAUAUAACCAGUAUCUUCAUUUUCAUUUGAACCUCCAUCCCAGCUCAAGCAUAACACCACCAUCCUCAACCUGCACUGCACAAGGCAACAGAAAUAAAAACUAAUCACCAAGAACAAAGACCAAUUUCUAGCACCCAACACACACUCCAAUGUUUCCAAUCCCAGUAAACAAAACAUCAAUUGAUAUAUGAAUUAACCAAUAAAGCAAAAAAAAUCAUUUUCGUCCCC